UUCGUCUCAAACGGAUUCCGAGGUGGUCUAGUAAUUAAUCUGCGAGCUUCGCCGGGACACUGGGCAGAUGUUCGUCGCAUUCAAUAAUUAUUUAACAUUUCACAAGUAACGUUUUCGUUCAGUUGUAUUCACAUCGCGGUAGUGACAACACCAUGGCUUUGGCAUCGGAAGGAACGAACCUCGUGUUCACCUACUUCAUUCUCCUGUUACUGCUGGUCUCUCUGUGGAUGCUGUAUUCCGCUUUUUAAAAAUGGAUCUAUGCAGACAAGAUAAGCCAACUCGAAGGAGAUCAUACGAGGAUGGCGGAUUAAACGAACCAAAAAAAAAAA
Long non-coding RNA from Bombyx mandarina (wild silkworm), 329 nucleotides. RefSeq lists it as uncharacterized. The record is from RefSeq and is a predicted model, not a curated record. NCBI's taxonomy places the organism in Eukaryota, Metazoa, Arthropoda, Insecta, Lepidoptera, Bombycidae.